UACGUAGGGUGCAAGCGUUAAUCGGAAUUACUGGGCGUAAAGCGUGCGCAGGCGGUGAUGUAAGACAGUUGUGAAAUCCCCGGGCUCAACCUGGGAACUGCAUCUGUGACUGCAUCGCUGGAGUGCGGCAGAGGGGGAUGGAAUUCCGCGUGUAGCAGUGAAAUGCGUAGAUAUGCGGAGGAACACCGAUGGCGAAGGCAAUCCCCUGGGCCUGCACUGACGCUCAUGCACGAAAGCGUGGGGAGCAACAGG
Molecule: ribosomal RNA, 252 nt
Filed under: uncultured bacterium
Lineage: Bacteria
Description: partial 16S ribosomal RNA
Rfam family: Bacterial small subunit ribosomal RNA
Source: RNAcentral